Molecule: long non-coding RNA, 1715 nt
Organism: Cottoperca gobio
Lineage: Eukaryota; Metazoa; Chordata; Actinopteri; Perciformes; Bovichtidae
Product: mucin-17-like
Source: Ensembl
CUAGUUCUACCUUGGUAUCUGUAUCAACGGGUCCAACUGAAUCAGUUACACCAACCGCUGCAGAGACCACUUUGCCAACUGAACCUACAGGUUCUACAGAUACAGUAACAACUGAGCCUACCGGUACCACCUCAGAAUCUCAAUCAACCAGUCAAACUGAUGCAGCAACAUCCGAGCCUGCUGGUUCUACCUUGGUAUCUGUAUCAACGGGUCCAACUGAAUCAGUUACACCAACCGCUGCAGAGACCACUUUGCCAACUGAACCUACAGGUUCUACAGAUACAGUAACAACUGAGCCUACCGGUACCACCUCAGAAUCUCAAUCAACCAGUCAAACUGAUGCAGCAACAUCCGAGCCUGCUAGUUCUACCUUGGUAUCUGUAUCAACGGGUCCAACUGAAUCAGUUACACCAACCGCUGCAGAGACCACUUUGCCAACUGAACCUACAGGUUCUACAGAUACAGUAACAACUGAGUCCUACCGGUACCACCUCAGAAUCUCAAUCAACCAGUCAAACUGAUGCAGCAACAUCCGAGCCUGCUGGUUCUACCUUGGUAUCUGUAUCAACGGGUCCAACUGAAUCAGUUACACCAACCGCUGCAGAGACCACUUUGCCAACUGAACCUACAGGUUCUACAGAUACAGUAACAACUGAGCCUACCGGUACCACCUCAGAAUCUCAAUCAACCAGUCAAACUGAUGCAGCAACAUCCGAGCCUGCUAGUUCUACCUUGGUAUCUGAACCAUCCACAACACAAACAACUACACAACCACCCAUACCAUCAACCAAACCAUCAACUGACCCACCAACCACAUCACCAACACCACCAACUACCACAGCAACAACUCAAACAACCAUUCGACCAAUCAUCACAGUGGAGCCCCUUGUUUGCCAAAAUGGGGGACACUUCAAUGGCUCCAUCUGCAUAUGUCUUGGUGGAUAUAAUGGAAUCUAUUGUGAAUUUGUUGACACUAUUGAGCCAGAUAUAUUUAACAGGUCAGUCAUUGUUAAUGUGGUGAUCGAUCAGGAAUUCAAUACAAAAUAUGAAGACAAAACGUCACCUGAAUACAAAACCUUUGUUGGAGAUUUCACCGACCAGAUGGAAACAUAUUACCAUGGAAAGAACCUAUCAAACUUUAAAGAAGUGGUGGUAACUAGUGUGAGCCGUGGAGCCACUUUGGUCAAAUUAUCAGAUAACACUGUGGAAGAGAUGAGAUUAUCAUCUGAAGUUAUACCUAUCUACAGUAUCGCACCAAGAGCAGAAGGUGUUAGCGUCACACAUGAAGUGGUUUUGGCAAUUCCAAACAACGUCAACUCUGACCUUGUAUAUGACGAUGACUUUAACGCAGUUGAGGAUGCUCUUCAAGGGCUUAUUGACUGCGAAAGUAAGACAGAAAAUCAGUAUUUUUCUUUCAUAAUCAUAUACAGAAUGCACUGCUAGCAAACCAUGAGAUCAGAACUAUAUUCUUUCAAAUAUAUAAGAGUUUUAUCACAUUGUGGUAUACAUACAUUGAAUAGAAUGUCAUUUUUUGUCUUGUGAAUUUUUUCAGAUUGUCCUUUCACCGUCAUAGCUCCGCCCAUACUUAAUAAAACAGAGGUGGAUUUGCAAUGUAAGUAUUACUGCACCGUGUGUACGUGCUUUUCAUCAUUGUGAUCUGUGUUUCAAAUAUCAACAGAGAGUUGAGGUAAAUUUGUGGGCGGUACCGGGCGAUU